CAGGGCUUGAUCGAGACGUCGGUCAGAAUCGCUUUCAACGAUUCCAAUGGGUUGGGGUUGGUUCGAAUCCAGCUGCCCCGACCA
This 84-nucleotide transfer RNA is filed under the name Bradyrhizobium sp. 192. RNAcentral describes it as "tRNA-OTHER". Lineage: Bacteria; Pseudomonadati; Pseudomonadota; Alphaproteobacteria; Hyphomicrobiales; Nitrobacteraceae. The record is from RNAcentral.